GUUUGCCCACAAAUCCAAAGGCUGUAGAAAAAUUUCGCUCAAAGAGAGUUGAGCAUAUUCACGACCGCUUGAAAAAAGCCAAAAACGGAAAACUCAUUCUCAUGCCAUACAAUCCUUCAUAAGUUUGAAUUUUCAUUUAAAACUUUUACAGUUGUUUCUGAAUUUAUAGUACUUUUACAACUGUUUGUUAAUUCAUGGUUUUGUUUUCUGCUUUUUUUCCAACUGCCUUCUCUGUCUUGUAGCUACCAUUGGGUUUUAGUUGUGUUUGACGUGGUGAAAAAGGAAGUGUUUUAUGUGGAUCCUGUGCAAUCAAGUCCUUAUAUUGAUUUAGAACAACUCCUUAAAAUGUAUGUAUGCCAAUCUAUUUCAUGCAAUUGAUAUUUUAAGUUUUUUUCAAUAUAAUUAAGAGAUAACAGUUUACUUUUUUUUUUAUAGCACCAUGACCCUCUUCACAACAGAGGAUAGUAAGAAAAAUUGGCAUUAUAAUUCUAAGAUGAGAAUUGUGAAGGUAUAAAAAAAAGUAACCCUACAGAAACUAUAUGCGCUAUCGAUUACAUAACUAAAAUGGAUGAGAUUUUGUAAGUUUUUUUUUGUGUGUGGCAUGAACAAGCUCCGAAACAAAAUACAUUAAAAUUGCAAUGUGGCUAUUAUGUGUUAAGGUACAUGAAGGUAAUAAUAGCAUAUGUUAGUUUGUUAAUGAACAAUGUAAGUUGAUGAUGACAUUUAGUUUGUUAAUGAAAAAUGUAAGUUGAUGAUGACAUUUCUUAACUUUCUUUUAUUCCAUAUACGUGAUAUUAUUUUUGAAGUUUGACAUCUUAAUAAUCUUGUGAUUAACAGGUUAAUGGAAAGAAUGUACACACUCAAGACGAAUUAAAUGAGGUUCGUUUGGAGUGGGCUAACCAUUUCUCUGACAUCCUUGUUGCAUCAGUAAAAUGGUUAGUAUGAGUAUGAAACUAUAAAUAUUAGUUGUAAAAAUUUAUUGAAAUUAAAGUUAUAGUGUCAAAUUAUAAUGGUUACUGUUACCGAAUUGUAGUGUGCAUGUUUUGCAUUCGAUAACAUUGGGUAUUUUGAUUGAUUCUGAAUAGAUUGGUUUGCUAGGUUUGGGUUGGAGUGUUGCUAGGUAUGUGGCUGGAAUACCAGUGGUGUGGAAAGAUGCUGAGUUGGAAGAUGUUGGGUUGCUGCUGAAUGUGUGUUGGGAGAGUUGUUGGGUAAGUGGCUAUUGGAAUAUUGCCGUUAGAAGAUGUAUUACUGUUGGAGGUUUUGUUGGCUUGGUGGUUGGAAUUUGACUUGCUUUUCUUGUAGUUUAAAUGGAUGAAUGUGUUUUUAUUUUUUUAAUUUGGGAUGUUGAUUAUAUAUGUAUUGGUAGUGAUGACAAUAUUAGAUACUAGAUGUAUUUAUUUUGAAAUUAACUUAUUGGAAUGAAUGAAUGUUAAUUAAUAUUAAUUGUUUUUAUUUUUUUCAUGA
This 1464-nucleotide long non-coding RNA is filed under the name Citrus x clementina. RNAcentral describes it as "Citrus clementina (C. clementina) long non-coding RNA (CCLE_LNC004184)". Lineage: Eukaryota; Viridiplantae; Streptophyta; Magnoliopsida; Sapindales; Rutaceae. The record is from RNAcentral.